CGCGGGGUAGAGUAACGGUAGCUCGUCAGGCUCAUAACCUGAAGAUUGCCGGUUCGAUUCCGGCCCCCGCAA
This 72-nucleotide transfer RNA is filed under the name Janthinobacterium sp. Its description in RNAcentral is "tRNA-Met". It matches the Rfam family "tRNA". From Rfam's summary of the family: Transfer RNA (tRNA) molecules are approximately 80 nucleotides in length. Their secondary structure includes four short double-helical elements and three loops (D, anti-codon, and T loops). RNAcentral also lists the same sequence under 2 other names. Lineage: Bacteria; Pseudomonadati; Pseudomonadota; Betaproteobacteria; Burkholderiales; Oxalobacteraceae. The record is from RNAcentral.